CGAACGCUGGCGGCGUGCCUAAUACAUGCAAGUCGAACGCUUCUUUUUCCACCGGAGCUUGCUCCACCGGAAAAAGAGGAGUGGCGAACGGGUGAGUAACACGUGGGUAACCUGCCCAUCAGAAGGGGAUAACACUUGGAAACAGGUGCUAAUACCGUAUAACAAUCGAAACCGCAUGGUUUUGAUUUGAAAGGCGCUUUCGGGUGUCGCUGAUGGAUGGACCCGCGGUGCAUUAGCUAGUUGGUGAGGUAACGGCUCACCAAGGCCACGAUGCAUAGCCGACCUGAGAGGGUGAUCGGCCACAUUGGGACUGAGACACGGCCCAAACUCCUACGGGAGGCAGCAGUAGGGAAUCUUCGGCAAUGGACGAAAGUCUGACCGAGCAACGCCGCGUGAGUGAAGAAGGUUUUCGGAUCGUAAAACUCUGUUGUUAGAGAAGAACAAGGAUGAGAGUAACUGUUCAUCCCUUGACGGUAUCUAACCAGAAAGCCACGGCUAACUACGUGCCAGCAGCCGCGGUAAUACGUAGGUGGCAAGCGUUGUCCGGAUUUAUUGGGCGUAAAGCGAGCGCAGGCGGUUUCUUAAGUCUGAUGUGAAAGCCCCCGGCUCAACCGGGGAGGGUCAUUGGAAACUGGGAGACUUGAGUGCAGAAGAGGAGAGUGGAAUUCCAUGUGUAGCGGUGAAAUGCGUAGAUAUAUGGAGGAACACCAGUGGCGAAGGCGGCUCUCUGGUCUGUAACUGACGCUGAGGCUCGAAAGCGUGGGGAGCAAACAGGAUUAGAUACCCUGGUAGUCCACGCCGUAAACGAUGAGUGCUAAGUGUUGGAGGGUUUCCGCCCUUCAGUGCUGCAGCUAACGCAUUAAGCACUCCGCCUGGGGAGUACGACCGCAAGGUUGAAACUCAAAGGAAUUGACGGGGGCCCGCACAAGCGGUGGAGCAUGUGGUUUAAUUCGAAGCAACGCGAAGAACCUUACCAGGUCUUGACAUCCUUUGACCACUCUAGAGAUAGAGCUUCCCCUUCGGGGGCAAAGUGACAGGUGGUGCAUGGUUGUCGUCAGCUCGUGUCGUGAGAUGUUGGGUUAAGUCCCGCAACGAGCGCAACCCUUAUUGUUAGUUGCCAUCAUUCAGUUGGGCACUCUAGCAAGACUGCCGGUGACAAACCGGAGGAAGGUGGGGAUGACGUCAAAUCAUCAUGCCCCUUAUGACCUGGGCUACACACGUGCUACAAUGGGAAGUACAACGAGUCGCGAAGUCGCGAGGCUAAGCUAAUCUCUUAAAGCUUCUCUCAGUUCGGAUUGCAGGCUGCAACUCGCCUGCAUGAAGCCGGAAUCGCUAGUAAUCGCGGAUCAGCACGCCGCGGUGAAUACGUUCCCGGGCCUUGUACACACCGCCCGUCACACCACGAGAGUUUGUAACACCCGAAGUCGGUGAGGUAACCUUUUGGAGCCAGCCGCCUAAGGUGGGAUAGAUGAUUG
This 1475-nucleotide ribosomal RNA is filed under the name uncultured organism. RNAcentral describes it as "SSU rRNA". It matches the Rfam family "Bacterial small subunit ribosomal RNA". The record is from RNAcentral.